CCGUCCCUCUAAGAAAUCCUAUCCCUCCUGCCCACCACCCGCUGCCACCCCCACUCCACCCACGACCAAACUACCUCCGGCCCGCUCCCCCUGGCGGCGCCGACCCCACCCGCUCCGGCCACACCUCUCGUGACUCGCCCCACUUGCCUCUCUCCCAGCUCCGGCGGACGGGCGGGAGGUCGGACCCAUCCGCCGCCGUGCCGCCCAACCCCUGUCAACCUUCUACCGCGGCCGCCGUCGGAGCACCACUCCAAGUCGCCGCCGUGCCGCCUCACCCUCCACCCACCUUCCACCGGCGCUGUCGCGCGUCGUCCCGCCCGCCCUUCUUCGCAUCACAAGCCGGCCUCCCCAACCACGGCAAUCCCCACCACCAUCGCUGGAUUCGAUUGCCUCCGGAUCCAGCAGCCCUGCACCCCUCGGCCUUCCCUCUGCACGCCGUCGUUCUCCCCUGGAGUACCCAGAUUUCGAGAUCACCGCGUCGCCAUGAAUCCCCCCGGAUCUAGGUGGCGGAUGUCCCCGUCGGCCUCCUCUUGUCUGUCCUCCACGAGGGGGUGUAGUCAUGAAGGGGGAGCACCACAUCUCAGAUCCACUAGGCGGCACCGCCGUGGCCCUUCGUCGCGUGCUCGGAUCCAGCCGGGCUUUCUCAUUGCUGUGAGCGGAGGACCCCGGGCAGAGGACCACUUGACGUGGCCCAUGCAGCGACGAGCGGGGCGGGCUCCAUUCCUCUCCCGGCCGAGACCGUGCUCCUCUCGGGACACAGCGACCUCCAGCACGCGACACCACCACCCCUCCCUUCCUACAGAGCUUGCAUCUCGCCGGCGUGUGGGUGUGCAGCUCAUAGGAAAAGGCGUUGAGCCACUGGUGCAGUUCGCCAGGGAUCUCCAAAUUGUUCGGUUGCCCUCGUAUGCGGUUCAGAGCGUGUGGCGCUGGUGUUUUUAUGUCCAGUUCAUUUUCUCACGAGUGCAACUCCCUUUUCUCUUCACGACUGUUUACUUUUCUCAUCUAUGCAGUGCUCGUGGGUCGUCCGAUGGUGCUCUUGUGGAAUAACACAUAGUUCUCCGUUGCCUACCACAUAUAUGUUCGUUUUGGGGAGCGGUACGUUCUUUGUGGACGUGCACUUCGUUCGGCACCGAGCGGCAUGAAGCUCAGUUUGCACGCGCGUGCAGCUCUGCUACCUAUUUCGUGCAGUUCUUUUUCUAAUUCAAUUUGUUUUGUUUGUGGGACGAUUGAAAAUUUAAGUUCAAUCCAUUUAUGUAGCAGCUCAUUACCCCUUUGUUUGAAGUGCAAUUUGUUUUGUGUGUCUCAAAAUUCAGUCAACUA
Molecule: RNA transcript, 1320 nt
Organism: Triticum urartu
Lineage: Eukaryota; Viridiplantae; Streptophyta; Magnoliopsida; Poales; Poaceae
Source: RefSeq, a predicted model, not a curated record